UGCAGUCGACGAACUCUGGUAUUGAUUGGUGCUUGCAUCAUGAUUUACAUUUGAGUGAGUGGCGAACUGGUGAGUAACACGUGGGAAACCUGCCCAGAAGCGGGGGAUAACACCUGGAAACAGAUGCUAAUACCGCAUAACAACUUGGACCGCAUGGUCCGAGUUUGAAAGAUGGCUUCGGCUAUCACUUUUGGAUGGUCCCGCGGCGUAUUAGCUAGAUGGUGGGGUAACGGCUCACCAUGGCAAUGAUACGUAGCCGACCUGAGAGGGUAAUCGGCCACAUUGGGACUGAGACACGGCCCAAACUCCUACGGGAGGCAGCAGUAGGGAAUCUUCCACAAUGGACGAAAGUCUGAUGGAGCAACGCCGCGUGAGUGAAGAAGGGUUUCGGCUCGUAAAACUCUGUUGUUAAAGAAGAACAUAUCUGAGAGUAACUGUUCAGGUAUUGACGGUAUUUAACCAGAAAGCCACGGCUAACUACGUGCCAGCAGCCGCGGUAAUACGUAGGUGGCAAGCGUUGUCCGGAUUUAUUGGGCGUAAAGCGAGCGCAGGCGGUUUUUUAAGUCUGAUGUGAAAGCCUUCGGCUCAACCGAAGAAGUGCAUCGGAAACUGGGAAACUUGAGUGCAGAAGAGGACAGUGGAACUCCAUGUGUAGCGGUGAAAUGCGUAGAUAUAUGGAAGAACACCAGUGGCGAAGGCGGCUGUCUGGUCUGUAACUGACGCUGAGGCUCGAAAGUAUGGGUAGCAAACAGGAUUAGAUACCCUGGUAGUCCAUACCGUAAACGAUGAAUGCUAAGUGUUGGAGGGUUUCCGCCCUUCAGUGCUGCAGCUA
RNAcentral lists this ribosomal RNA (832 nucleotides) under Lactiplantibacillus plantarum. RNAcentral's name for it is "bacterial SSU rRNA". It matches the Rfam family "Bacterial small subunit ribosomal RNA", at positions 56 to 854 of the family's 1533-position model. Lineage: Bacteria; Bacillati; Bacillota; Bacilli; Lactobacillales; Lactobacillaceae. The record is from RNAcentral.